RNAcentral lists this ribosomal RNA (497 nucleotides) under uncultured bacterium. RNAcentral describes it as "partial 16S ribosomal RNA". It matches the Rfam family "Bacterial small subunit ribosomal RNA", at positions 28 to 507 of the family's 1533-position model. The record is from RNAcentral.
GAUGAACGCUGGCGGCGUGCCUAAUACAUGCGAGUCGAGCGAACAGACGAGGAGCUUGCUCCUCUGACGUUAGCGGCGAACGGGUGAGUAACACGUGGAUAACCUACCUAUAAGACUGGGAUAACUUCGGGAAACCGGAGCUAAUACCGGAUAAUAUAUUGAACCGCAUGGUUCAAUAGUGAAAGACGGUUUUGCUGUCACUUAUAGAUGGAUCCGCGCCGCAUUAGCUAGUUGGUAAGGUAACGGCUUACCAAGGCAACGAUGCGUAGCCGACCUGAGAGGGUGAUCGGCCACACUGGAACUGAGACACGGUCCAGACUCCUACGGGAGGCAGCAGUAGGGAAUCUUCCGCAAUGGGCGAAAGCCUGACGGAGCAACGCCGCGUGAGUGAUGAAGGUCUUCGGAUCGUAAAACUCUGUUAUUAGGGAAGAACAAAUGUGUAAGUAACUAUGCACGUCUUGACGGUACCUAAUCAGAAAGCCACGGCUAACUACGUG